This 429-nucleotide ribosomal RNA is filed under the name uncultured bacterium. RNAcentral describes it as "bacterial SSU rRNA". It matches the Rfam family "Bacterial small subunit ribosomal RNA", at positions 355 to 776 of the family's 1533-position model. The record is from RNAcentral.
UGGGGAAUAUUGCACAAUGGGGGGAACCCUGAUGCAGCCAUGCCGCGUGUGUGAAGAAGGCCUUAGGGUUGUAAAGCACUUUCAGCGAGGAGGAAAGGUUAGUAGUUAAUACCUGCUAGCUGUGACGUUACUCGCAGAAGAAGCACCGGCUAACUCCGUGCCAGCAGCCGCGGUAAUACGGAGGGUGCAAGCGUUAAUCGGAAUUACUGGGCGUAAAGCGCACGCAGGCGGUUAUAUAAGCUAGAUGUGAAAGCCCCGGGCUUAACCUGGGAGAGUCAUUUAGAACUGUAUGACUAGAGUCUUGGAGAGGAGAGUGGAAUUUCAGGUGUAGCGGUGAAAUGCGUAGAUAUCUGAAGGAACAUCAGUGGCGAAGGCGGCUCUCUGGCCAAAGACUGACGCUCAUGUGCGAAAGCGUGGGUAGCGAACAGG